CUCUUCCCUCCAAAGCACCCUGCUAAAACUGCAGGAGCCAAGCCUGCCAGGUUUGGCUCAUGUGGCCGUGUAAGCAUGGGUACACCAGGGAAGAAGAUCAAAAGCACAGGGUCGACAAUGAGCCUAGGAGGGACCUCUUUCUUAAUGUCCAUUGUCCUUUGUCUCAAGACCCUGUGUUACACAU
Molecule: small nucleolar RNA, 184 nt
Organism: Fundulus heteroclitus (mummichog)
Lineage: Eukaryota; Metazoa; Chordata; Actinopteri; Cyprinodontiformes; Fundulidae
Source: Ensembl